AAGGCAAUAAUGGCCGUUACCUCUCGGCAUCGAGAUGAUUAUCGACAAAGGAACAGGUCGAGGGAGGUCGUACCCGAAGUCAGGGAAAUGGACUAUCAACGUGAUCAUUCUCACCAUAAGGAAAGAGUUGUGUACCGAAGCAGAUCAAGAAGUCCCUCCAGGGCAGUAGGAUCGGCAAGAGGAGGUCGAUCCUCUCAGAGACAUAAUGUUGUUCAUGAGAAAGAGGUUUCCCCACAGCCUGAAGGCGUUGAUUUUCUGGUAAAGGAG
RNAcentral lists this long non-coding RNA (267 nucleotides) under Panax ginseng (ginseng). RNAcentral's name for it is "long non-coding RNA (PGIN_LNC010440)". The record is from RNAcentral. Lineage: Eukaryota; Viridiplantae; Streptophyta; Magnoliopsida; Apiales; Araliaceae.